UAUCUCAAGAUGCUUCUGCAUCAAAUUCUGUCAUAUUAAUAUUAGUUUGUAGGUUCCUUCUAACAAUUUUAUCUAGUUCUUCAUUGGUUUUUUAUCCUCUCUCUAUGGUGAUAUGUUUCAUCAUAAAGUUUCCCCUCCAUCUUGAAUAUAAUUUUCGCACUAUGCUCCGGAUGCACCUUCUUAGAUCAUCUGUUCCUAUAUCAAAGCAAAAACAUAGAUUAAGCUUAUAAAGUUGGCCGAUCAAUAAUCGUUCUGGUCUCUUUGUAAACAUUACCCCAACCAUCAUAGGAAUUAGAGUCAAUGUAGAUCAAGCUCCAUAACUGCUCUGACAAGGAAUCAAAGAGCUUUCGUGCAUAUAUAGAAUUUAAAUGAUUGUUUGCUUCAGUGGAGAUACCUGAUUUCUAAUGGUUGCAUGCAUAUUAAACCAUGAAUAUAGUUCUCCGGUUUGAGUUUGUAAUUCAGCAUACAGUAUCAGUUCAUAUAGGAUGACUUGCGAGUUCUAUAUAUAUUUCGAAUUAAAUUCCUUCAGCACAAAUAAUUCUUAGCUCACUUCCAUGGUCUGAUCUCGCCACCAUAUAAUAUGAGAUUGUUGAAGCUGCACUACAAAGAUUCAGUUUACUGAUUACUACAUUGAAAUAUCCAGUGAUUUCAUAUAGCAUUGCUUUGUGGAGAAGGUGCGAAACCACUGCACUUUCUUUUUCAGAAACUUUGUUUAGUGGGUAACUGAAAAUAUAACAAACAACUACCUCACAAAUGUUUAAAAUAAACAUUGUAACAUGAUAAACUUUCCUUGUAAUAUAUAUCAACAGAGGGGAGAAAAUAAGCAUGCAA
Molecule: long non-coding RNA, 831 nt
Filed under: Phoenix dactylifera (date palm)
Lineage: Eukaryota; Viridiplantae; Streptophyta; Magnoliopsida; Arecales; Arecaceae
Description: long non-coding RNA (PDAC_LNC017651)
Source: RNAcentral